This 253-nucleotide ribosomal RNA is filed under the name uncultured bacterium. RNAcentral describes it as "partial 16S ribosomal RNA". It matches the Rfam family "Bacterial small subunit ribosomal RNA", at positions 524 to 776 of the family's 1533-position model. The record is from RNAcentral.
UACGAAGGGGGCUAGCGUUGCUCGGAAUCACUGGGCGUAAAGCGCACGUAGGCGGAUCUUUAAGUCGGGUGUGAAAUCCCUGGGCUCAACCCAGGAAGUGCACUCGAAACUGGCAGGCUUGAGUACUGAAGAGGGUCGCGGAAUUCCCGGUGUAGAGGUGAAAUUCGUAGAUAUCGGGAGGAACACCAGUGGCGAAGGCGGCGACCUGGGCAGAUACUGACACUGAGGUGCGAAAGCGUGGGGAGCAAACAGG